AUUGAACGCUGGCGGCAGGCCUAACACAUGCAAGUCGAACGGUAACAGGAAGCAGCUUGCUGCUUUGCUGACGAGUGGCGGACGGGUGAGUAAUGUCUGGGAAACUGCCCGAUGGAGGGGGAUAACUACUGGAAACGGUAGCUAAUACCGCAUAACGUCGCAAGACCAAAGAGGGGGACCUUAGGGCCUCUUGCCAUCGGAUGUGCCCAGAUGGGAUUAGCUAGUAGGUGGGGUAACGGCUCACCUAGGCGACGAUCCCUAGCUGGUCUGAGAGGAUGACUCGCCAGACGGUAUGUGAGGCUCAGUACCGACUCCGGCAGUAGGCAGCGGUGGAGAAUCUUGCACGAUGGGGGAGUGGCGAAUGCUGGCAUGCCGGGGGUAGGAUGAAGCACCACGGGCGCGUAAGUGCUGUCAGCGUGAGGGUUGGAAGUAAAUUUUACACCGGAGCACAUUGACGUUACCCGCAGAAUAAGCACCGGCUAACUCCGUG
Molecule: ribosomal RNA, 490 nt
Filed under: uncultured bacterium
Lineage: Bacteria
Description: partial 16S ribosomal RNA
Rfam family: Bacterial small subunit ribosomal RNA
Source: RNAcentral